GAUGAACGCUGGCGGCGUGCCUAAUACAUGCAAGUCGAGCGAACAGACGAGGAGCUUGCUCCUCUGACGUUAGCGGCGGACGGGUGAGUAACACGUGGAUAACCUACCUAUAAGACUGGGAUAACUUCGGGAAACCGGAGCUAAUACCGAAUAAUAUAUUGAACCGCAUGGUUCAAUAGUGAAAGACGGUUUUGCUGUCACUUAUAGAUGGAUCCGCGCCGCAUUAGCUAGUUGGUAAGGUAACGGCUUACCAAGGCAACGAUGCGUAGCCGACCUGAGAGGGUGAUCGGCCACACUGGAACUGAGACACGGUCCAGACUCCUACGGGAGGCAGCAGUAGGGAAUCUUCCGCAAUGGGCGAAGGCCUGACGGAGCAACGCCGCGUGAGUGAUGAAGGUCUUCGGAUCGUAAAACUCUGUUAUUAGGGAAGAACAAAUGUGUAAGUAACUAUGCACGUCUUGACGGUACCUAAUCAGAAAGCCACGGCUAACUACGUG
This 497-nucleotide ribosomal RNA is filed under the name uncultured bacterium. RNAcentral describes it as "partial 16S ribosomal RNA". It matches the Rfam family "Bacterial small subunit ribosomal RNA", at positions 28 to 507 of the family's 1533-position model. The record is from RNAcentral.